RNAcentral lists this ribosomal RNA (465 nucleotides) under uncultured bacterium. RNAcentral's name for it is "partial 16S ribosomal RNA". It matches the Rfam family "Bacterial small subunit ribosomal RNA", at positions 338 to 795 of the family's 1533-position model. The record is from RNAcentral.
CCUACGGGUGGCAGCAGUGGGGAAUUUUGCACAAUGCUCGAAAGACUGACGCAGCGACGCCGCGUGAAUGACGAAGGCCUUCGGGUCGUAAAGUUCUGUCAGGAGGGAAGAAAGCGCAUGGCGCCAAUCAGUCAUGAGUUGACGGUACCUACAAAGGAAGCGACGGCUAACUCCGUGCCAGCAGCCGCGGUAAUACGGAGGGCGCGAGCGUUAAUCGGAAUUACUGGGCGUAAAGCGAGCGUAGGCGGUUGUGUAAGUUGGGGGUGAAAGCCCACGGCUCAACCGUGGAACAGCACUUGAUACUGCGCGACUUGAAUGCGGGAGAGGGUGGCGGAAUUCCAGGUGUAGGAGUGCAAUGCGUAGAUAUCUGGAGGAACAUCAGUGGCGAAGGCGGCCACCUGGUCCGGUAUUGACGCUGAGGCGCGAAAGCGUGGGUAGCAAACAGGAUUAGAUACCCCAGUAGUC